CUUGGUCAUUUAGAGGAAGUAAAAGUCGUAACAAGGUCUCCGUUGGUGAACCAGCGGAGGGAUCAUUACCGAGUACUAUAACUCAUAACCCUUUGUGAACCUUUAUACCUGUUGCUUCGGCGGCGCGCCUCCCGGGGCGUGCCCGCCGGCAUUAUUAGAAUCUCUGUUCGAACCCGACGAUACAUCUGAGUGUUCUAAGCGAACUGUUAAAACUUUCAACAACGGAUCUCUUGGCUCCAGCAUCGAUGAAGAACGCAGCGAAACGCGAUAUGUAAUGUGAAUUGCAGAAUUCAGUGAAUCAUCGAAUCUUUGAACGCACAUGGCGCCUUCCAGUAUCCUGGGAGGCAUGCCUGUCCGAGCGUCGUUUCAACCCUCGAGCCCCCGUGGCCCGGCGUUGGGGAUCUGCCCAGGCAGUCCCCGAAAACCAGUGGCGGACCCGUUGGGCCCUUCCUUUGCGUAGUAACAUCUGCCUCGCAUCGGGAGCCUGCGGGCUAUCCGGCCUCUAAACCCCCCUCAAGCCCGCUCCGGCGGCACCAAGGUUGACCUCGGAUCAGGUAGGAAUACCCGCUGAACUUAAGCAUAUCAAUAAGCGGAGGAAAAGAAACCAACAGGGAUUGCCUCAGUAACGGCGAGUGAAGCGGCAACAGCUCAAAUUUGAAAUCUGGCUCCUUCGGGGCCCGAGUUGUAAUUUGCAGAGGAUGCUUCGGGUACGGGUUCCUUCCGAGUUCCCUGGAACGGGACGCCAUAGAGGGUGAGAGCCCCGUCUGGUAGGACACCCAGCCCGUGUGAAGCUCCCUCGACGAGUCGAGUUGUUUGGGAAU
Molecule: small RNA, 821 nt
Filed under: uncultured Verticillium
Lineage: Eukaryota; Fungi; Ascomycota; Sordariomycetes; Hypocreales
Description: eukaryotic LSU rRNA
Rfam family: Eukaryotic large subunit ribosomal RNA (bases 541-821)
Source: RNAcentral